GGCCGAGUUGUAAUUUGCAGAGGAUGCUUUGGAGAUUGAUCUGUCCUAAGUCCUUUGGAACAGGGCGCCAAGGAGGGUGAAAGUCCCGUAUUUUCAGAUUCAAGAUCCGUGUAAAGCUCCUUCGAAGAGUCGAGUUGUUUGGGAAUGCAGCUCAAAAUGGGAGGUAAAUUUCUUCCAAAGCUAAAUAUCAGCUAGAGACCGAUAGCGCACAAGUAGAGUGAUCGAAAGAUGAAAAGCACCUUGAAAAGGGAGUUAAAAAGCAUGUGAAAUUGUUGAAAGGGAAGCUCAUGCAGUCAGACUUGAUUCGAUGGCUCAGCCUUUUGGUGUAUUCCAUUGAAUCAGGCUAGCAUCAGUUUGUUUAGCUGGAUAAAAGUUUCGGGAAUGUAGCUCCUCGGAGUGUUAUAGUCCGAUACAGAAUGCAGCUCUCACAGACUGAGGUCCGCUUAUAGGAUGCU
RNAcentral lists this ribosomal RNA (455 nucleotides) under Dictyomeridium proponens. RNAcentral describes it as "eukaryotic LSU rRNA". It matches the Rfam family "Eukaryotic large subunit ribosomal RNA", at positions 136 to 627 of the family's 3401-position model. Lineage: Eukaryota; Fungi; Ascomycota; Dothideomycetes; Trypetheliales; Trypetheliaceae. The record is from RNAcentral.